This 66-nucleotide non-coding RNA is filed under the name Mycolicibacterium fortuitum. The record is from RNAcentral. Lineage: Bacteria; Bacillati; Actinomycetota; Actinomycetes; Mycobacteriales; Mycobacteriaceae. RNAcentral also lists the same sequence under 1 other name.
GCUGAUGCCAGCACAUGGCACCGGACGAGGCGCACCCGUACCCGGCCAGCGAAAAGACGGGGUGUU